Molecule: long non-coding RNA, 920 nt
Organism: Spinacia oleracea (spinach)
Lineage: Eukaryota; Viridiplantae; Streptophyta; Magnoliopsida; Caryophyllales; Amaranthaceae
Exons: 3
Source: RefSeq, a predicted model, not a curated record
ACCAACAAACAUUUUCUGCUAUUCUUCUUCACCGUGUCACCUCCUCCAUGAGAGUCAACCAUGAGCUUUUGAUGUGUCUUCACCAUUUUUCAUUCAACUCCUUAAUUCAUCAAACCUACUUACCUAAAACUAGACUAGCUAAUCCUAAUCACCAAUGUAUUAACUCAAAUCUCCUACACUUGUCUCUGCAAACAAGCUGACUUGUACCCUCAAUGGAGCACCCAAGCUUCUAUAAAUAGCUGUUAAUUCAUCCCCAAAUGCAAUACAAAUCAGAUUACCUUCAAUUCACAAUUAAAAAUCAUAAGUUCUUAAUUUUUCUGUUCAAACAACUGAGACCACCGCCGGAAACCACCGCGAGCAACCAUCACCAAAGUUGCCGCCGGCGACCUGCCACCACCCACCUUCGCCUAGUAAUCCGGCCAACUCUUGUGUGUGGGUCCCGACCAGAAGCCGUACACCCCGCUAGCGGUCGAUUUCUUUUUCUCUCUUCUCUGUUCUUCGGCUUCGGCUUUGCCAACAAUCUCGACCCUCGGAGCUCAAGAAGGACGAUAAUCAAGACUAGAGGAAAAGCCUAAGUCAAUCACGAAUUUGAGGUGCCGACCGGGACGGUGGAUGCGAUUAGUGGCAAGGAUUUCGUCUUAUUAGGGCUCACCUAGUUUAAGCUUAAUUUGUACUAAGUUCAAGUAAGAAUAUUCUAUUAAGUUAUGUAAGUCACUUUUGAAUAUUAAUAUAGAACAUAGUUAUAUUAGUUGUAUAAAAGUAUUAUGAGGAUAAUAGCCUUGUAAUUCCCAAGAGGGAGUUACGGCGGUAAUGCCUCGACCGAAUUAGGGCAACUCCGCUGCUUAAUUACUUGAGUUAGAGGUCGGGGCGUUACAGUGUACCUGACCAGUUCCGAGCAUAGAAGUUUAACAUAAUCUGAA